GGGUUGUGAGGUUAAGCGACUAAGCGUACACGGUGGAUGCCCUGGCAGUCAGAGGCGAUGAAGGGCGUGCUAAUCUGCGAUAAGCGCCGGUAAGGUGAUAUGAACCGUUAUAACCGGCGAUACCCGAAUGGGGAAACCCAGUGUGAUUCGUCACACUAUCAUUAACUGAAUCCAUAGGUUAAUGAGGCGAACCGGGGGAACUGAAACAUCUAAGUACCCCGAGGAAAAGAAAUCAACCGAGAUUCCCCCAGUAGCGGCGAGCGAACGGGGAGGAGCCCAGAGCCUGAAUCAGCAUGUGUGUUAGUGGAAGCGUCUGGAAAGGCGCGCGAUACAGGGUGACAGCCCCGUACACAAAAGCGCAUGUGCUGUGAGCUCGAUGAGUAGGGCGGGACACGUGGUAUCCUGUCUGAAUAUGGGGGGACCAUCCUCCAAGGCUAAAUACUCCUGACUGACCGAUAGUGAACCAGUACCGUGAGGGAAAGGCGAAAAGAACCCCGGCGAGGGGAGUGAAAAAGAACCUGAAACCGUGUACGUACAAGCAGUGGGAGCCCCACCACUAAGCCAGUGGUGAACUCCACAUACGCAUCCUUUGCUGAGGAUACGGUUAACGGAGCGAAAGCGACGUUCAACCUCAAAAGAAGCAGAGGGGGCUUAGUGGUGGGGUGACUGCGUACCUUUUGUAUAAUGGGUCAGCGACUUAUAUUCUGUAGCAAGGUUAACCGUAUAGGGGAGCCGGAGGGAAACCGAGUCUUAAUUGGGCGUUAAGUUGCAGGGUAUAGACCCGAA
This 786-nucleotide ribosomal RNA is filed under the name Salmonella enterica. RNAcentral describes it as "partial 23S ribosomal RNA". It matches the Rfam family "Bacterial large subunit ribosomal RNA", at positions 1 to 719 of the family's 2925-position model. The record is from RNAcentral. Lineage: Bacteria; Pseudomonadati; Pseudomonadota; Gammaproteobacteria; Enterobacterales; Enterobacteriaceae.